CAGUCGCCGCGGGAAUACGUAGGGGGCAAGCGUUAUCCGGAAUUACUGGGUGUAAAGGGAGCGUAGACGGUUAAACAAGUCUGAAGAGAAAUGCCGGGGCUCAACCCCGGAGCUGCUUUGGGAACUGUAGAACUGGAGUGUCGGAGGGGUAAGCGGAAUUCCCAGUGUAGCGGUGAAAUGCGUAGAUAUUGGGAGGAACACCGGCGGCGAAGGCGGCUUACUGGACGACAACUGACGUUGAGGCUCGAAGGCGUGGGUAGCAAACAGGAUUAGAUACCCCUGUAGUCCCUGUCUCUUAUAA
This 301-nucleotide ribosomal RNA is filed under the name uncultured bacterium. Its description in RNAcentral is "partial 16S ribosomal RNA". It matches the Rfam family "Bacterial small subunit ribosomal RNA", at positions 509 to 809 of the family's 1533-position model. The record is from RNAcentral.